This 497-nucleotide ribosomal RNA is filed under the name uncultured bacterium. RNAcentral's name for it is "partial 16S ribosomal RNA". It matches the Rfam family "Bacterial small subunit ribosomal RNA", at positions 28 to 507 of the family's 1533-position model. The record is from RNAcentral.
GAUGAACGCUGGCGGCGUGCCUAAUACAUGCAAGUCGAGCGAACGGACGAGAAGCUUGCUUUUCUGAUGUUAGCGGCGGACGGAUGAGUCACACGUGGCUACCCUACCUCUAAGACUGGGAUAAUAUCAGGAAACCGGCGCUAAUACCGGAUAAUAUUUUGAACCGCAGGGUUCACACGUGAAAGAAGGUCUUGCUGUCACUUAUAGAUGGAUCCGCGCUGCAUUCGCUAGGUGGUAAGGUAACUGCUUACCAAGGCAACGGUGCAUAGCGGACCUGAAAGGGUGAUCGGCCAGACUGGUACUGAGGCACGGUCCAGACUCCUACGGUAGGCAGCAGUAGGGAAUCUUCCGCAAUGGAGGAAAGCCUGACGGUGCAACGCCGCGUGAGUGAUGAAGGUCUUCGGCUCGGAGAACUCUGUUAUUCUGAAAGAAGAUAAGUUUAAGUAACUGUGCACAUCUUGACGGUACCAAAUCAGGAAGCCAAGGCUAACUACGUG